AGAAUCAACGCUGGCGGCGUGCCUAACACAUGCAAGUCGCACGAGAAAGGGGAGCAAUCCCUGAGUACAGUGGCGCACGGGUGAGUAACACGUGAAUAAUCUACCUUCCGAGUGGGGAAUAAACUGAGAGAAAUCUUAGCUAAUACCGCAUAACACUUACGAGUCAAAGCAGCAAUGCGCUUGGAGAGGAGUUCGCGGCCGAUUAGUUAGUUGGCGGGGUAAUGGCCCACCAAGACGAUGAUCGGUA
Molecule: ribosomal RNA, 247 nt
Filed under: uncultured bacterium
Lineage: Bacteria
Description: partial small subunit ribosomal RNA
Rfam family: Bacterial small subunit ribosomal RNA
Source: RNAcentral